GAUGAACGCUGGCGGCGUGCUUAACACAUGCAAGUCGAACGGAAAGGCUCCUGCUUGCAGGGGUACUCGAGUGGCGAACGGGUGAGUAACACGUGGGUGAUCUGCCCUGCACUUCGGGAUAAGCCUGGGAGACUGGGUCUAAUACCGGAUAGGACCACAUUUUGGAUGGUGUGGUGGAAAGUUUUGCGGUGUGGGAUGAGCUCGCGGCCUAUCAGCUUGUUGGUGGGGUAAUGGCCUACCAAGGCGUCGACGGGUAGCCGGCCUGAGAGGGUGUACGGCCACAUUGGUCCUGAGAGACGGCCCAGACUCCUACGGGAGGCAGCAGUGGGGAAUAUUGCACAAUGGGCGCAAGCCUGAUGCAGCGACGCCGCGUGGGGGAUGACGGCCUUCGGGUUGUAAACUCCUUUCGCUAGGGACGAAGCGCAAGUGACGGUACCUGGAGAAGAAGCACCGGCUAACUACGUG
RNAcentral lists this ribosomal RNA (465 nucleotides) under uncultured bacterium. RNAcentral's name for it is "partial 16S ribosomal RNA". It matches the Rfam family "Bacterial small subunit ribosomal RNA", at positions 28 to 507 of the family's 1533-position model. The record is from RNAcentral.